CAAGAUCGCCCCGUUUUUUGAAAUGGGUUCUAUUCCCAAACCGUGCAUACAUACCUUUGUUGCUUUGGCAGGCCGCCUUCUAGGCGUCGGCUCCGGCUGACUGCGCCUGCCAGAGGACCCAAACUCUUUUGUUUAGUGAUGUCUGAGUACUAUAUAAUAGUUAAAACUUUCAACAACGGAUCUCUUGGUUCUGGCAUCGAUGAAGAACGCAGCGAAAUGCGAUAAGUAAUGUGAAUUGCAGAAUUCAGUGAAUCAUCGAAUCUUUGAACGCACAUUGCGCCCCUUGGUAUUCCGAGGGGCAUGCCUGUUCGAGCGUCAUUAUAAUCACUCAAGCCUCGGCUUGGUCUUGGGGUUCGCGGUUUCGCGGCCCUUAAAAUCAGUGGCGGUGCCGUCUGGCUCUAAGCGUAGUAAUUCUCUCGCUAUAGGGUCCAGGUGACCACCUGCCAUAACCCCCCAUUCUUUACGGUUGACCUCGGAUCAGGUAGGGAUACCC
RNAcentral lists this ribosomal RNA (493 nucleotides) under Hyaloscypha finlandica. RNAcentral describes it as "partial contains internal transcribed spacer 1, 5.8S ribosomal RNA, internal transcribed spacer 2 and large subunit ribosomal RNA". The stretch from base 165 to 318 matches the Rfam family "5.8S ribosomal RNA". Lineage: Eukaryota; Fungi; Ascomycota; Leotiomycetes; Helotiales; Hyaloscyphaceae. The record is from RNAcentral.